Molecule: ribosomal RNA, 253 nt
Filed under: uncultured bacterium
Lineage: Bacteria
Description: partial 16S ribosomal RNA
Rfam family: Bacterial small subunit ribosomal RNA
Source: RNAcentral
UACGAGGGGGGCAAGCGUUGUUCGGAAUUAUUGGGCGUAAAGGGCGCGUAGGCGGUGCGGUAAGUCAGCUGUGAAAACUCUGGGCUCAACUCAGAGCCUGCAGGCGAAACUGCCGUGCUUGAGUGUGGGAGAGGUGCGUGGAAUUCCCAGUGUAGAGGUGAAAUUCGUAGAUAUUCGGAGGAACACCAGUGGCGAAGGCGGCUCACUGGUCCGGUACUGACGCUGAGGUGCGAAAGCGUGGGGAGCAAACAGG